GACAUGGACCUACAAUUUACAACAUGCAGGCUCACCAGGUCUGCCUGCUCAUUAUAAAUUGAAGAUCAGAAUCUGAAUGUGGGGAGGGGGAGAGAGAGAGAGGAUUUAUCAAUGGAAUAGCAUAACACGCAAAAAGCUAUUCAUGAAUUAGUCAUAUGGUGGGCAGAAGAGUGUGGACAAAUUCUCACCAGAGGGAAAUUCUGCAGUCUAAACUCAACAAUCUUAAGAAUGAAUCAGUACCACUAAAAAGAUGAUGAUGAUGAUGAUGAUAAAGAUGAAAUCUGUGGCUGCAGACAGGCAGGGAGGUUAUCAGACUUCCCAAUUCACCUUUUCCCUGUCAGACUGGAAGUUCUGUGACAACCCUCAGCUGUAUUGACUAUGGAUAGUUAUCUUAUAUGACUGUGAUGCCACUUGUGGUAUUGUACAAAGCCGCCACUUAACUUCUUCAAUGGAAGCAGACGAUGCUCAAUAGCUUGCAGCACUGGGCCUUGACUCUUUGGACAGCUUUGCUUUAAAUUACUGACUCAUUCAUAUGAAGUAACGAAUAUUAAAAAUGCAUGCUAUUGACUUCAAGACACUGUAGGAUGGAUUCAUGAAUAACAGAUUACAGUCCAAAUUUUGCUCCAGUGUGAAUCUUGACUUCAUUUGACAGCAAAUGGGAUAUAAUUUGGAGCACUGCAGCAUUACAAAGAGCAGAACUUGUCUCCAUAUAUGUAGGCGGAACAUCACAGAAAUGCCACCAGGACUGGGAUGGAACAGAGCAGCUGUCUAACUGUGCACAACAGCACUUCACAACAGAGAAAGUGAAGAAUACCAUGUCCAACUGAAACUGCAAACGGAAUGUAAGUAGGUGGAAUGUAAUAACCACAGUUGAAAUCCGGCCACACUCUUGCUAAAAGGCUUCUGGGAUCUUUACUGACCAAAAGCAUUCAGAUCCUCUGUUUUAUAUCUCAUCCUAAAGACAGCAUCUCCAGCACCGCCGUCCCCCACUAUCAAUCGGCUGGAACAUUGGUUCAGUACUACUACAGAGGGAACAGUAUCACCUACCAGAUCACUAAUUAUCAGCACUUCUUUAGGAUCUGGAUUUUCUCUAGAGGACUUCCAUCGCUCUCUCUCCAAUAUAAAUCCUCUCUAUUCCUAAAAUCCCAUCUACCUUAAAUCUCCACAAUAAUUAAUCUCUUUACAACAUUCUGAAUACUUGGCCCUGUAAGAUUGUGGUAUAAUGAGGUGAAGCAUGUUGGAACAAAUAAUAUAAAGAUGCACAGAGUCAAAAGAAUGUGUUUCUUGACUAAAUGAAGCUUUCGCAGAGGCAAGAAAGUUGGAAUAUACAUCACAACAACAAUCAGAAGUUGGGCAAUGUACAUCCAUGUGAAUUAAAGAAGUAAGUUCUGGAAAAGUUCUAGGUCACCGAGGGAGUUAUUCCAAAACAUAAAGUGGCCAUGCCCUCUGAGAGAUUGAGUGCUGUCAAUUUCUGUCGCUGGAGUAGUCCAAUACAUUGUAAAGCAGUCCUAAUCAGUUUGAAGCAGCAUCAUGUGAAAUCCACCCAUCUUCCCUGCAAAUUAUGCCAGGUGUAUUUGGGUAACAUGCAUAGAUACUAUUUUUGGGUAGAGGGUGUACAUGCCCAAACAUAAAGAUUACUUCCACAGACCAAGAGUCUCCAUCACAAAAUGCUGCCACACAGUACACGUAGAAUAUCCAGUCUGCAUGAAGUUAAUAAUAUAUAUAUUUGGGAGGGUGUGCA
Long non-coding RNA from Mauremys reevesii (Reeves's turtle), 1741 nucleotides. RefSeq lists it as uncharacterized. The record is from RefSeq and is a predicted model, not a curated record. The transcript is spliced from 5 exons. Lineage: Eukaryota; Metazoa; Chordata; Testudines; Geoemydidae.